Molecule: ribosomal RNA, 659 nt
Filed under: uncultured Bacteroides sp.
Lineage: Bacteria; Pseudomonadati; Bacteroidota; Bacteroidia; Bacteroidales; Bacteroidaceae
Description: bacterial SSU rRNA
Rfam family: Bacterial small subunit ribosomal RNA
Source: RNAcentral
GGCAGCGGGAUUGAAGCUUGCUUCAAUUGCCGGCGACCGGCGCACGGGUGAGUAACGCGUAUCCCAUCUUCCGCUUACUCGGGGAUAGCCUUUCGAAAGAAAGAUUAAUACCCGAUGGUAUCUUAAGCACGCAUGAGAUUAAGAUUAAAGAUUUAUCGGUAAGCGAUGGGGAUGCGUUCCAUUAGGCAGUUGGCGGGGUAACGGCCCACCAAACCUACGAUGGAUAGGGGUUCUGAGAGGAAGGUCCCCCACAUUGGAACUGAGACACGGUCCAAACUCCUACGGGAGGCAGCAGUGAGGAAUAUUGGUCAAUGGGCGAGAGCCUGAACCAGCCAAGUAGCGUGAAGGAUGACGGCCCUACGGGUUGUAAACUUCUUUUGUGCGGGAAUAAAGGAACCUACGUGUAGGUUUUUGCAUGUACCGUAACGAAUAAGCAUCGGCUAACUCCGUGCCAACAGCCGCGGUAAUACGGAGGAUGCGAGCGUUAUCCGGAUUUAUUGGGUUUAAAGGGAGCGUAGACGGGUUUUUAAGUCAGCUGUGAAAGUUUGGGGCUCAACCUUAAAAUUGCAGUUGAAACUGGAGACCUUGAGUACGGUUGAGGCAGGCGGAAUUCGUGGUGUAGCGGUGAAAUGCUUAGAUAUCACGAAGAACUCCGAUUG